GGUAAGGAGCUGGUGCUACCCUGUUCUCCUUUGUUCUCCUGACCCCUGAGAAUUCUGGGAAAGUGGUUCACACUGUAAAAGUGCUGACAAUGGGUGUUCCCACUGUUCCUGUGACAGAGAGCCCAGGCUUCAGCUGCUGAAGAAGAACUCAGACCUAACCCUCCAGGGCGGGACCUUUAAUUUGGCACAGAGUUGGUCCUUAGCCAAAUAAAAAUUGAAAAGGGGAGAUUUUAAAUUUUCAUCUAAUUAAGACUUUAUAUAAUGGAUCUUUUUCUUAUUGUGGCAACAAGAGGAGA
This 296-nucleotide long non-coding RNA is filed under the name Homo sapiens (human). RNAcentral's name for it is "HSALNT0014196". The record is from RNAcentral. Lineage: Eukaryota; Metazoa; Chordata; Mammalia; Primates; Hominidae.